Molecule: transfer RNA, 72 nt
Organism: Camelus ferus (Wild Bactrian camel)
Lineage: Eukaryota; Metazoa; Chordata; Mammalia; Artiodactyla; Camelidae
Rfam family: tRNA
About the family: Transfer RNA (tRNA) molecules are approximately 80 nucleotides in length.
Source: Rfam
GAGGGUAUAGCUCAGUGGUAGAGCGCUUGCCUACCAGGCGUGAGAUCCUGGGUUCAAUCCCCAGUACCUCCA